UCCUUGCACACAUGCAUAAAUUUGUUUCAAGUCUGACAGUAGCAGCUGGAGCGCCAAAGUCAUUCGCAGCGAGCCCCUGCCACCCGCCACCGUUGCCUGGAAAAUUGCCGCCUAUGUUCUCCUGUGGUGCUGCUGAUGCUCCUGCUCUAUGUGACAAGACGUGCUUCUGGCUUUGGCAUGCUGUGAAAAAUACUAUUAUGCACCCAAUGAAUGGGUACUGUUGGUUUGCUAUCCAAAUUUUGACAAUAUCAAGACUGGCCAAAAUUGGCACCUUUUUGUGAGGUUGGCAGAAUUUUUUUUGGCAAUCAACCAAUCACUAGCCAAUAUUUGGCAAGCCUGUAACCAACCAAUCACUAGCCAAAUAAAUAUUGGCAUGGGGGGUAUCGCGUGUGUUAAGGGAUUUGGCCUGCUUUAAACAAACACGUACAGAGUUUGUAAUAGAAGCUUAAUAGGCACCUCUAGUGGUCAUGAAAGAACCAAAAAGAUUUAGACAACAUUGGCACAUGAUGCAUAUGCCUUACCAGAAAAUUUAGAAUCCAAACUCGAUCAAUACACCAAGAAAUAAGAAAAGACAACCCCACUAUGAGUAGUACCCGGAAGCCACUAUUCACAGUAAAAUUGAAUUCACUACUAUUUCUGACUUGAUUUGGUCUUGAAAUUUCUUGCUGCGGUAGACACCUGACAUGCCAGUGUUGUAAAAAAUUGCAGAACUUUUCAUGACAAUUGGAGAUGGUUAAGUGUGUCUUAUUGCACUAGCACAUCUCAUGUGCCUAGAGCACGCAAUAUCCCCUUGUUCAGUCGUAUACUUCAGAAAUAUAUCUUUCUUGCUCCUAUUCUAUCCCUUUAUAUGGCAGGAGUAGAUUUAUAAAUUGUGACUAUCAAAUAGGUUUGAAAUUGAAUACAGUGUCUUUGUUAGUUCAAUAUAAUCUGAAACUUGUACUUACUAUAUUUAUUCUCUUUAUAUUCCAUUUGGUGUUCAGAGUAAAGACUAGUUAUUCCUUGCAUUCUUAGUGCGAAAUUUCUUUGUGGGUACUAAUACUGGAGUUCUCUUAAAAUCAUAUACGCCGCAAUGAUGUGGUCAGUGUCGAGUCAUACUCCCUCUGUUCCAAGUUACUUGAAGUUUUAGCUUUGUCCUAAGUCAAGCUUUUUAAACUUUGAACAAGUAUAUAAAAAAUAUGCUAAUAUCUACAACAUAAAAAUGUAUAUUGUAUGAAAACAUAAUUUAUGAAAAAUCUAAUGAAACUAAUUUGGUAUUGUAAAUUUGAUAUAUCUUUUUGCAGACUUAAAGAUGUUUUGACAUAGCAAAGCUAGAACUUCAAAUAAUUUGGAACAGAGGGAGUACUUGUCAAGCAUUAAUGUUUGUUCUCUUUCGAGAAAACUGAUAUUUUUGAUAUUGAUCUGCAUUUGGUAGCCCUUGUAUAAUACUAAUUUUGGUUUCAUGAAAUGACCGAAGCUUCAUUUGUGACAUGUCUUGCAAACAAAUCCUUAUUUAGUUUUCUGACAUUAACAGAGUGAUCUCUUUUGUUGUUGGUUCAUGAUGACACAUGCAUCUGGGCAUCUUAUUACAGCUACCGACUUCCUGUGUGACUUCUUCUUAUGUAAAAGACAAAAUCACAUCUAAAUAAUGUGCCAUCUGUUCUAUCUGUAUAUUCAAGCACUUUCAGACUCAUGCAAUACUUGUCAUGGAGGGCUGUGGAUUUGUUGUGACCAUGUGUUCUAGACUUUCUAGACGACAAUAUCAGUGUUAGCAUGAAGCCCAUAUAUUGGAGUCCAAUAAAACCAUGUUCCAUCAUCUAUCAACCAUUCAACUUUGAGGCAUUAGAGUUUUAUCAACAAUGCUUGAGGGCCAAACACCAGAAGAAGAGAACUAGGUGUAGCCAAGGACAACUUGCCGGCUAACUCUUAAGGCUCAACGAACUCCCAACACCAGGAGCCGGCAAGUCAUCCUUGGCUGCAUCCCGUUCUCUGCCUCGUAGCGUAUGGCAGCCCAGCAGAAGCCUCCCCAGUAUAUGCUCUACAGGUACUUCUGGGCUCUUGCCCCUUCUUCCUCUUCCCCUACCCUGACUGCUUUGCUAUCAUGUGGAAUGGUCUGCUGGUGUGCAUUGCCGCAGGGUGGGAUGGUCUUCAUUUAUAGGCACGAGCAAGUUGGAUGUGAAAUAAUAUGGAGAUAGCUGCCCAAUGAGUUAUAUACUGCAAAAUAUUUCACCACAAAGUCUUCCGUUUUGGGGAUGAGACAUGAUGAGUCACCAAUUGGUUAUCCUGGGUCCGAUGUCCAUUUUAAAUAAGCAUAGUGGCCCAUGGCCAUGAGGGUUCGGCAUCUUUUGGAUUGGUUGGUUGAGAGGAUUAGCAUUUGAUCUGUGCUGCAUGUGGAGCUUGUGGACAUGCGGUGGACGUGGUGCGCAACUCUUGACCUAAGCAAAUUUUAUAGAGUUCUUUGUAGUCCAUUCCCAAACAUUUUAGAAUUACAAAAGCUUGUCAAGUACUACCUCUAGUAUUGGACAAUUAUAAACCCAUGGAUAGUAAACAUUCUCCCUUCGUUCUAUUAAAAGGCAUCCUCAAUAUAUGCUAGUAGGACCAUUUUCACCAUGAUUUUGUUCACUAUAUUGAGAAUUUUAAUGCUCAACUAACAACCAAAUUCUGAAAAAAAAAAUGGUAUGCAGUGAUCUUCAGUUUGAUUCUUGGAAGGACCAGCCUAGCUGUCCUUGUAAAAAGGUAGGUUAAAACUUAUUUUGCAGACAUGCAUGUGCCUCUUAGGACUGAAAGUAGACUGGAGCAUUUUGCCCAUCCUGCAUAAGAAUCUGGUAAUCACUCUAGAAAAAUAUGUUGUACUCCGUUCCUAAAUAUAAGCCCUUUUAAAGAUUCUAUAAUAUGGACCACAUACGAAACAAAAUGAGUGAAUCUACACUCUAAAAUACAUAUGCCGGUGUGUCCUGUUUUUUUAUUUUGUGGGCUUGUUGAGUUGUGCCCUCAGCAGAUCCUCUGUACUUUGUUGUGAGACCUGGGUGUGUGUAUGGACUUGACUCUGUAUGUGUGCUCGUUGGCGGUUUAAUUUAUUUAUAAAGCGGGGUGAUAGCCUUUUUCGGUAAAUACAUACGUAUGUAGUCCGUUUUAAAAUCUCUAGAAGGGCUUAUAUUUAGAAACGGAUGGAAUAUGAAGCAGUUGCAUGCUUCUAUUGGUUACAUCAAUUUUCUAAUUAGAAAUGUUUGCUCUUAAUUUAUGUUAAAAACUGUUAGAGAUAUAUUUGGGUUACUUGUAUUUGGUAGUCUAGGAUUUGUAAUCCUUCUCCUACCUUAUCUUCAGGAGAGGCUUCUUGCCCUUCAAGUUUUGUACUCAAUAUAUACUCGCCCUCGAGGCUCAAUAAUACAUGCAUCAUAUUCCGCCAAUCCCUCUCUCCCUUGGAACAAAAACUUUCAAUUCUCACAAAAAU
Molecule: long non-coding RNA, 3427 nt
Organism: Triticum dicoccoides
Lineage: Eukaryota; Viridiplantae; Streptophyta; Magnoliopsida; Poales; Poaceae
Exons: 3
Source: RefSeq, a predicted model, not a curated record